Non-coding RNA from Picea glauca (white spruce), 46 nucleotides. Lineage: Eukaryota; Viridiplantae; Streptophyta; Pinopsida; Pinales; Pinaceae. The record is from Rfam.
GUAACGGUGUCUUUAGACACCACCCUUUGUCUUUGAAUUUGUUUUU